GUUGUAUAGUCAAGUAAUUAAGUGCAUGUGGUGGAUGCCUUGGCAGUCAGAGGCGAUGAAAGACGUGAUAG
RNAcentral lists this ribosomal RNA (71 nucleotides) under Acinetobacter baumannii. RNAcentral describes it as "partial 23S ribosomal RNA". Lineage: Bacteria; Pseudomonadati; Pseudomonadota; Gammaproteobacteria; Moraxellales; Moraxellaceae. The record is from RNAcentral.